Molecule: transfer RNA, 84 nt
Filed under: Candidatus Pacearchaeota archaeon
Lineage: Archaea; Nanobdellati
Description: tRNA-Leu
Rfam family: tRNA
About the family: Transfer RNA (tRNA) molecules are approximately 80 nucleotides in length. Their secondary structure includes four short double-helical elements and three loops (D, anti-codon, and T loops).
Source: RNAcentral
GCGGGGAUGCCGGAGAGGCCAAACGGAACAGGUUUAGGCCCUGUUGGCUUAGUGCCUGCGAAGGUUCGAAUCCUUCUCCCCGCA